GGAGCUUGCUCCCUUAGGUCAGCGGCGGACGGGUGAGUAACACGUGGGUAACCUGCCUGUAAGACUGGGAUAACUCCGGGAAACCGGGGCUAAUACCGGAUGCUUGAUUGAACCGCAUGGUUCAAUCAUAAAAGGUGGCUUUUAGCUACCACUUGCAGAUGGACCCGCGGCGCAUUAGCUAGUUGGUGAGGUAACGGCUCACCAAGGCGACGAUGCGUAGCCGACCUGAGAGGGUGAUCGGCCACACUGGGACUGAGACACGGCCCAGACUCCUACGGGAGGCAGCAGUAGGGAAUCUUCCGCAAUGGACGAAAGUCUGACGGAGCAACGCCGCGUGAGUGAUGAAGGUUUUCGGAUCGUAAAACUCUGUUGUUAGGGAAGAACAAGUACCGUUCGAAUAGGGCGGUACCUUGACGGUACCUAACCAGAAAGCCACGGCUAACUACGUGCCAGCAGCCGCGGUAAUACGUAGGUGGCAAGCGUUGUCCGGAAUUAUUGGGCGUAAAGCGCGCGCAGGCGGUUUCUUAAGUCUGAUGUGAAAGCCCCCGGCUCAACCGGGGAGGGUCAUUGGAAACUGGGGAACUUGAGUGCAGAAGAGGAGAGUGGAAUUCCACGUGUAGCGGUGAAAUGCGUAGAGAUGUGGAGGAACACCAGUGGCGAAGGCGACUCUCUGGUCUGUAACUGACGCUGAGG
RNAcentral lists this ribosomal RNA (693 nucleotides) under uncultured Bacilli bacterium. RNAcentral's name for it is "bacterial SSU rRNA". It matches the Rfam family "Bacterial small subunit ribosomal RNA", at positions 75 to 751 of the family's 1533-position model. Lineage: Bacteria; Bacillati; Bacillota; Bacilli. The record is from RNAcentral.